Macrobrachium nipponense is the source of this 514-nucleotide long non-coding RNA. RefSeq lists it as uncharacterized. The transcript is spliced from 3 exons. The record is from RefSeq and is a predicted model, not a curated record. NCBI's taxonomy places the organism in Eukaryota, Metazoa, Arthropoda, Malacostraca, Decapoda, Palaemonidae.
GUCCAAGUUGAACAGAGGUUUAGUGUGUGCUUGUGAGUUGUUGUUUUCCUGAUUGCAAUAAUAGCACGAUGUGCGGCUUAUAGUUGACAAAAUAGGAAAAAACAAGUCUUCUAGAGAAAAUGAGAUAACAUUUCACAGGUAUUCGAAAGUUGCUGAGAACUCAACUCUGAAGGGAAGCUGGGAAGAGGGCAUAAAAAUAGUGAGUUGUGGGAUGAGGAAAUGCAUUUGCAAGACAGGAAGGAGGAUUGCGUUUAGAAGCACGCGAGGAUGGAUAAGGUGCAUAAGAAGAAGGCACAGGAGGGAGAGAGAGAGGGUAUGUAUUAAAGCAGUGUUCUCAACCUUUUUUGGCCCAUACACCCUUUCACCAUAUGUCAGAAUGUCAUUCAUUCCUUCCCCCUUUCCAAAAUGAUCUGCCUCAAAAGACGCAUUCCGAAUAAUAUGUAAGAAAAUACCAACACAAAUACACGAGCUAGCAGAGAGAAAACCCAGCGUGACCUCUCAAUAGCGCAGACCG